This is a long non-coding RNA of Oncorhynchus keta (chum salmon), 230 nucleotides long. RefSeq lists it as uncharacterized. The record is from RefSeq and is a predicted model, not a curated record. Lineage: Eukaryota; Metazoa; Chordata; Actinopteri; Salmoniformes; Salmonidae. The transcript has 3 exons.
CUGACUGGGGGAGGUAUGUAGGUUUCAUUAUGUGUAUAGUAGAGACUGACUGGGGGAGGUAUGCAGGUUUCAUUAUGUGUAUAUUAGAGACUGACUGGGGGAGGUAUGCAGGUUUCAUUAUGUGUAUAUUAGAGACUGACUGGGGGAGGUAGGCAGGUUUCAUUAUGUGUAUAUUAGAGUAGAGACUGACUGGGGGAGGUAUGCAGGUUUCAUUAUGUGUAUAUUAGAGA